UACAGAGGUGGCAAGCGUUGUUCGGAAUUACUGGGCGUAAAGGGCGCGUAGGCGGCCUUCUCAGUCAGACGUGAAAUCCCCAGGCUUAACUUGGGAACUGCGUCUGAUACUGGAAGGCUUGAGUGCGGGAGAGGGAUGUGGAAUUCCAGGUGUAGCGGUGAAAUGCGUAGAUAUCUGGAGGAACACCGGUGGCGAAGGCGGCAUCCUGGACCGACACUGACGCUGAGGCGCGAAAGCUAGGGGAGCAAACGGG
Molecule: ribosomal RNA, 253 nt
Filed under: uncultured bacterium
Lineage: Bacteria
Description: partial 16S ribosomal RNA
Rfam family: Bacterial small subunit ribosomal RNA
Source: RNAcentral